RNAcentral lists this small RNA (619 nucleotides) under Histoplasma capsulatum. Its description in RNAcentral is "hypothetical RNA". RNAcentral also lists the same sequence under 1 other name. Lineage: Eukaryota; Fungi; Ascomycota; Eurotiomycetes; Onygenales; Ajellomycetaceae. The record is from RNAcentral.
AUGCCACUGUCAAUCUAUCUAUCACUGCUAAUCUAUUGCUGCUGCUAAUCUAUCUACUGCUGUCAAUCUAUUUAUCACUGUCAAUCUAUCUAUCACUGCUAAUCUAUUGCUGUUAAUCUAUCACUGCUAAUCUAUUGCUGCUAAUCUAUCUAUCACUGCUAAUCUAUCACUGUCAAUCUAUCUACCACUGCCAAUCUAUCUACCACUGCCAAUCUAUCUACUGCUGCCAAUCUAUCUACCACUGCUAAUCUAUCACUGCUAAUCUAUUGCUGCUAAUCUAUUGCUGCUAAUCUAUCACUGCUAAUCUAUUGCUGCUAAUCUAUCUAUCACUGCUAAUCUAUCACUGCCAAUCUAUCUACUGCUGUCAAUCUAUCUACCACUGCCAAUCUAUCUACCACUGCUAAUCUAUCACUGCUAAUCUAUCACUGCCAAUCUAUAUAGAGUAAAUCAUGAUCCCAUUUGAUUCUAUUUUGUAAAAUGGGAUCAAAUGAGACUGGAACCACUAAUUUAUUAGUAAAACAUGAUCUGAGACUAGAUUUAUAAUAUAAACAGUGUAAAGUGACUAAUUUACUAAACACUAUAUGGGACCAGAACUAAGAUAUCUAAUAAUGAAACUGAG